This 99-nucleotide transfer RNA is filed under the name Streptomyces gelaticus. RNAcentral's name for it is "tRNA-Ile". The record is from RNAcentral. Lineage: Bacteria; Bacillati; Actinomycetota; Actinomycetes; Kitasatosporales; Streptomycetaceae.
UUGAGGGCCUGGAGUUCGGUGAAGGAGCCACCGGCGCCGAUGGUGUCGGCGAUCAGCAUGGCGAGGCUGGUGCGCAGUUCGUACUCCCCGGCCAUCGGA